GACGAACGCUGGCGGCGUGCUUAACACAUGCAAGUCGAACGAUGAAGCUGGAGCUUGCUCUGGCGGAUUAGUGGCGAACGGGUGAGUAACACGUGAGAAAUCUGCCCUUGACUCUGGGAUAACUGCGGGAAACUGUAGCUAAUACCGGAUACUUUCCCUGGUGGGCAUCCACUGGGGAAGAAAGAAUUUCGGUCAAGGAUGAUCUCGCGGCCUAUCAGCUUGUUGGUGAGGGAAUGGCUCACAAAGGCGACGACGGGUAGCCGGCCUGCGAGGGUGACCGGCCACACUGGGACUGAGACACGGCCCAGACUCCUACGGGAGGCAGCAGUGGGGAAUAUUGCGCAAUGGGCGCAAGCCUGAUGCAGCAACGCCGCGUGAGGGAUGAAGGCCUUCGGGUUGUAAACCUCUUUUAGCAGGGAAGAAGCGAAAGUGACGGUACCUGCAGAAAAAGCACCGGCUAACUACGUGCCAGCCGCCGCCGUAA
Molecule: ribosomal RNA, 484 nt
Filed under: uncultured bacterium
Lineage: Bacteria
Description: partial 16S ribosomal RNA
Rfam family: Bacterial small subunit ribosomal RNA
Source: RNAcentral